CCUACGGGAGACAGCAGUGAGGAAUAUUGGUCAAUGGGCGCGAGCCUGAACCCGCCAAGUAGCGUGAAGGCUGACUGCCCUACGGGUUGUAAACUUCUUUUAUCAAGGAAUAAAGUGAGGCACGUGAGCCUUUUUGUAUGUACUUUAUGAAUACGGAUCGGCUAACUCCGUGCCAGCAGCCGCGGUAAUACGGAGGAACCGAGCGUUAUCCGGAUUUAUUGGGUUUAAAGGGAGCGUAGUGGGGAUGUCAAGUCAGGUGUGAAAGUUUGCGGCGCAACCGUAAAAUUGCAAUUGAUACUGGCAGCCUUGAGUACAGUUGAGGUAAGCGGAAUUCGUGGUGUAGCGGUGAAAUGCUUAGAUAUCACGAAGAACUCCGAUUGCGAAGGCAGCCUACUAAACUGCCACUGACAUUGAUGCUCGAAAGUGUGGGUAUCAAACAGGAUUAGAUACCCGUGUAGUC
RNAcentral lists this ribosomal RNA (460 nucleotides) under uncultured bacterium. RNAcentral describes it as "partial 16S ribosomal RNA". It matches the Rfam family "Bacterial small subunit ribosomal RNA", at positions 338 to 795 of the family's 1533-position model. The record is from RNAcentral.